GUGGACUGCUGCCUGGGUCUGGCUGCUCAGCCUCAAGCUCUGCUUCUCCCUCUCGGGCGCGUUGCAGGCAUGGCGUGCACGGGCAUAAAGCCAGAGGACUGCAUGCCCUUCAUGCCUUUUUUGGUGGCCCUGCUGGUGUGCUGCUUGGGCUGGACCCCGGUAGGAGCCAUUGCUGGGGCAGAGCCCAGCCCUGGUCGGCAGGGGGGGGUCGGCAGGGGGGGUCGGCAGGGCCUGGGAGCAGCCCCGGGGACAGGCUGGGGGGGCCCGGCCUGGCCGGGGAGGCCAGUUCCCAGCCGGGCCCUGCCCAGCCUGGGCCAGGAGGCUCGGGGCAGGCACAGGGCUGGCCCUGGCGGGGUCGGGGUCUUUGCUGGUGCCCCUGAGGCGGCGGGGAACGCUCCCCUCUCACCCACUGCUUUCCGUCCUCUGCAGGGAGCGACACCACGGAAGUGCCGAUGUGGAGGCAAGAAGGGGAAAGGCCGAGGUGUGCAGCCCCGGGGCAAGGGCCAGCGCCCUGCGAAGACCCCACCUGUCCCCACGUGCCCACUGCCCCAACCGGGGAUGGCCUCUCCCCUCACUCUGUCCCCUGGGUCUUCAGACUCUGUCCUCCUGGAGCCUUCACAGCCCAUGAGGAUGAACUGGCCCAUGCACCCAGACAUGGAUGGUUUGAGUGAAACGGAUGAGCAAUUAAACAGGACUAUCAAGGACUUUGAAAGACACCUGGAAUCGUUCAACUGUGAGACCGUUGAAGGCAGAGACAGCUCUCUAACUUCCACCAUGGGCCUCACCCAUGAAUCCACACUGGAGCAAGAACUGGACCUGACGGUGACUGUAAAAACUCUACAAGAUGUUCCAGCCUCAGCUCCUCCUAGACCCCACCAACCAGAAAACCGUGGUGUGGUGGUUCCGAUCGUGUCGGAUCCGCCCUUCCGGGUGGGGAGGGGUCAUCUGGUGAUAGAAUAAUUGUCCAAACGGUGAUGAAUUGUUGUGAAUUCUUCAAACCAUAAGACUUCAGAA
This 1014-nucleotide long non-coding RNA is filed under the name Calidris pugnax (ruff). RNAcentral describes it as "lncRNA (ENSCPUG00000004572.1)". Lineage: Eukaryota; Metazoa; Chordata; Aves; Charadriiformes; Scolopacidae. The record is from RNAcentral.